GGCUUGUUAGCUCAGUUGGUAGAGUACUGCACUGGCAUUACAGAGGUCAUGGGUUCGGAUCCCGUACAGGACU
Stylophora pistillata is the source of this 73-nucleotide non-coding RNA. NCBI's taxonomy places the organism in Eukaryota, Metazoa, Cnidaria, Anthozoa, Scleractinia, Pocilloporidae. The record is from the annotation of a RefSeq genome assembly.